Molecule: long non-coding RNA, 809 nt
Filed under: Mus spicilegus (steppe mouse)
Lineage: Eukaryota; Metazoa; Chordata; Mammalia; Rodentia; Muridae
Description: lncRNA (ENSMSIG00000028753.1)
Source: RNAcentral
CUGAAAUGGAGAGUAAGAUUGUUCUUAGUCAUCAUCCUCUUCAACUUCCCCUUCUUCAAAUUCAGGAGAAGAAUGGAGAACAGAUAUGGGAGGAGAAGAAUUUAAAGCUUACCACUGAGACAAAAAUCGCUCAGGCUUUAUGAGAGUUAGCAAACCAUGAAGAACCCUUCAUGGUGGUAGAGAAUAUGUGCACAACUGAGCAAAAGGGUAAUGAUGACAUGGUCCUUUCAACGUUGUGGCAUGGGGGGUUUCAUCAAAAAAAUUAAUCAAUUCAUUAAUAAUAAAUCAGGUAGCAGCUCAUAUGUCUACAUUACAGGUACCAAGGGGAUGAAGUUGUUGACCAUGAAGAAGAGAUCGUGGAAAAUAAAGAAGACGCAGAUAAAGAAGAAAAUGAACAGUAACCUGAAAAGGUUCUCCUUUGUCCACUUGGUGGCAGCAUCGCCCGAGUCACUAACAAGAAGCCACACCAGGACCCUCCCUUGACUUUUCCAAAGGAUAUCUUCAAGAACUUUCACAUUCAAGCAUUCAUUCUCUUAUAGAACAGAGCAAAGAGAGAUGACACCAGUCACAAGCCCAGGAGCAUCUUUCACUUCUAUCACUCACUGUUUUUUUUAGUCUUUUUUAAAUUUUAAAGAAAUUAUCAACUCUCUUGUGCUAGAGAUUUAAAACUAGAAGACACCCUGUCAGUCAACUGAGGAUCCAUUAUUGAUAACAGAAGUUAAGCUAAGCAGAAGACAAACUUGGGAAGGUAAAAAUGUAAUUACUAUGUUCCUAAGAAGAUCCUAAAAGUACUAGAGGAGAGAAAUUCU